UCCACAGGGAUAGGCUUUGUGGUCAGUUCAAAGCAAGCAGCAGAGUGUGCAAUCCUGCAUUUAUGUUCGCAUCAGGACCGUAUUGCAAAGUGGAUGCAGACAGUGGGAGUAUUGUUGCAUCGUCGCUGGAGUACCAGGAGAGUGUGGAUGGAAGCACGAGGUGAGCUAUCAGAGAAGAAAUGGGAAAGAAGAAAAUUCCCAGGCUUGACGAUGUUGCUCAUCCGUUCAGCAAUGAUUCAUUGAGCACCUCUUCAGCAAUUCUGCAAUUUUGUAAGGUUUUUUAUGACGACAUCCAUUGGCCACCUCCCAAGGUGGACGGACACUAGCCAUCCCACACACCAGAGCUUGACCCUCCAUCACUCUGUUCAGUGGGUGAAGUCUGGAAGCUGGUUGAGGACAAAGGGACUCUGAGUUACACAUGUGAACUUUUCUUACAGCAGAAGAGUAUAAAGGGAUCAGCCAAAGUAAGGAUUCAAGAAAUCCACCUGCACUGAAUGGGGAAUUGAAUUCUUGCACACUCCAGAGUGGGAUGGAAGCACGAAAUUGCUUUAAACUAUUUUUACAACUGGUCAGCCAUUGUGCUAGGUCUGAGAUUUUCCCUAGUUCAUGAAAGGUUUUUAAUAAUUCUGCACAUUUUUGGAACCACUCAGGGUAAG
This 656-nucleotide long non-coding RNA is filed under the name Felis catus (domestic cat). RNAcentral's name for it is "lncRNA (ENSFCAG00000043046.2)". Lineage: Eukaryota; Metazoa; Chordata; Mammalia; Carnivora; Felidae. The record is from RNAcentral.